GGAUGCUUGUUCGCGGACGUCUAGGAACACAAUCCCGGCCAACUACGCCUUGGGACCCUUGCCUGAAGCCUUGGAGCUCGGCGAUGAUCCCGCCGUGUUCUUCGCCGCGGCGGAUUGUGCGCGGGCGGGGAAAGAGCCCUUGCCAGUGUCGUUCCCGGCCUUAGCCUGGGUGGACUGGAUGCGCGCGGCAUCGGUCGGGUUCAUCUUCACGCCAGCGGGAACACCACCGCGAGCACCCUUGGGAGACAUUGUGAUAUGAGAGGUGGUGAGGUGGUUGUAGUAGUUGGUGGAUGAGGA
Molecule: unclassified non-coding RNA, 297 nt
Filed under: Hevea brasiliensis (rubber tree)
Lineage: Eukaryota; Viridiplantae; Streptophyta; Magnoliopsida; Malpighiales; Euphorbiaceae
Source: RNAcentral